CUUGGGGGGGGGUUCCUUCAGCCUGGAUUGUGAGAGGGUGCAGGCCAGGCCGAGGGACCCCACCAGUACACG
Molecule: microRNA precursor, 72 nt
Filed under: Myotis davidii
Lineage: Eukaryota; Metazoa; Chordata; Mammalia; Chiroptera; Vespertilionidae
Description: mir-9193 microRNA precursor family
Rfam family: mir-9193 microRNA precursor family
Source: Rfam by way of RNAcentral